GAACGAACGUUAGCGGCGCGCUUAACACAUGCAAGUCGAGCGAGAAAGGGAGCAAUCCCCGGUACAGCGGCGCACGGGUGAGUAACACGUAGGUAAUCUGCCUUCGAGUGGGGGAUAACCUUCCGAAAGGAGGGCUAAUACCGCAUAAGACCACGACUCCGAGAGGGGAUGAGGUCAAAGCCGGCCACUAUACAUAAGCUGGCGCUUGGAGAUGAGCCUGCGGCCCANCAGCUAGUUGGUAGGGUAAUGGCCUACCAAGGCUAAGACGGGUAGCUGGUCUGAGAGGAUGAUCAGCCACAC
Molecule: ribosomal RNA, 300 nt
Filed under: uncultured bacterium
Lineage: Bacteria
Description: bacterial SSU rRNA
Rfam family: Bacterial small subunit ribosomal RNA
Source: RNAcentral